This 368-nucleotide ribosomal RNA is filed under the name uncultured bacterium. RNAcentral's name for it is "bacterial SSU rRNA". It matches the Rfam family "Bacterial small subunit ribosomal RNA", at positions 30 to 346 of the family's 1533-position model. The record is from RNAcentral.
AUUGAACGCUGGCGGCAUGCUUAACACAUGCAGUCGAACGGCAGCGCGGGAAAGCUUGCUUUCCUGGCGGCGAGUGGCGGACGGGUGAGUAAUACUUAGGAAUCUGCCCACUAGUGGGGGAUAGCCCGGGGAAACUCGGAUUAAUACCGCAUAAGCCCUACGGGGGAAGCUGGGGACCCAGCACCAUAGCCUUUUGGCAACCGAUCAAGGCGAGAAGAAGCUAUGGUGCUGGGCCUGGCGCUAGUGGAUGAGCCUAAGUCCUAUCAGCUAGUUGGUGGGUAAAAGCCUACCAAGGCGACGACGGGUAGCUGGUCUGAGAGGAUGAUCAGCCACACUGGGACUGAGACACGGCCCAGACUCCUACGGGA